UACGGGGGGGGCAAGCGUUGUUCGGAAUUACUGGGCGUAAAGCGCACGUAGGCGGAUCGAUCAGUCAGGGGUGAAAUCCCAGGGCUCAACCCUGGAACUGCCUUUGAUACUGUCGAUCUGGAGUAUGGAAGAGGUGAGUGGAAUUCCGAGUGUAGAGGUGAAAUUCGUAGAUAUUCGGAGGAACACCAGUGGCGAAGGCGGCUCACUGGUCCAUUACUGACGCUGAGGUGCGAAAGCGUGGGGAGCAAACAGG
RNAcentral lists this ribosomal RNA (253 nucleotides) under uncultured bacterium. RNAcentral describes it as "partial 16S ribosomal RNA". It matches the Rfam family "Bacterial small subunit ribosomal RNA", at positions 524 to 776 of the family's 1533-position model. The record is from RNAcentral.